This 737-nucleotide long non-coding RNA is filed under the name Brassica napus (rape). RNAcentral's name for it is "long non-coding RNA (BNAP_LNC016587)". Lineage: Eukaryota; Viridiplantae; Streptophyta; Magnoliopsida; Brassicales; Brassicaceae. The record is from RNAcentral.
AGUUCAUUAUCUAAGAUGAAAAAUGCUUUUCAACCUUCGCUUAUUGGGCUCAUUAUGCUCACCGUUACUCUGUUAGGUUGGUAUUUAUAUUUACAAUUUUAUUAUUAUAUUCAAUAAUCAUUUAAAAUUAAAGUUAUUCUGAUAGCAUAUUAUUUUAUAUACUGAUAUAAUUUGUAUACUGAAUUAUGUAAUGUUGAGUUUAGCAAAGUUUCCAGAAUAAUCAAUGAUUAAAAAAAGAAAAUGUUUAUACUUUAAUUUUUUUUUUCCCUAUAAAUAUGCAAAAAAAGACACUUUUUAAGCAUAUGUUUUACCAAAAACAUUAAUUUUCUAUCGUAAAUACAAACACUAAAAUUAUGUUUUAACUAUUAUAGUAACAGGAGCAACGACGAUUGGUCAGAAAGGAGUACCACAUCCUUGCUUCGAAGACUACAAACAGAAAAAUGGAAAAUGUAACAAGGAGGAUUGUAUAGCUGAAUGUGCCAGAAAAAGGAAUGGAAUUGGUUCAUGCGGGGGGAUGAUGGGAUUUGAGCGUUGCUUUUGCUUUUAUCAAAAGAAUAAAAAGAAUAGUUGUUUACCCUGAUUUUUUAUCUCCAUUGGAACUCAAAUAAUAUUUAUAAUAAUACAUCCAAAGGAAAAAUAAUAAUAUUAUUAAUUGUUGUUAGCGUUUGUGGCAUAACAAAAUGUAUUAUGUUACCAAUAUAAAUAACAAAUAACAAAUAAUAAUAUAUUGUUCGUCU